GGUUAAUACAUGCAUGAUACUGAUGUUGUGUGUUACUUUUCUAUUUGCAGCUUGAGUACUUGGAAGAGAGGAGGAUUAAGGACCUUGUGAAGAAGCACUCUGAGUUCAUUAGUUAUCCCAUCUACCUGUGGACGGAGAAGACAACGGAGAAAGAGAUUAGCGAUGAUGAAGAUGAUGAAACCAAGAAGGAAGAGGAGGGAGAUGUUGAGGAUGUUGAUGAGGAGAAGGAGACCAAAUCCAAGAAGAAGAAAAUCAAGGAGGUUUCUCACGAGUGGCAGCUUAUUAACAAGCAGAAGCCCAUCUGGCUGCGCAAGCCGGAGGAGAUCACCAAGGAGGAAUAUGCAUCUUUCUAUAAGAGCUUGACCAACGAUUGGGAAGACCACCUAGCUGUCAAGCAUUUCUCUGUUGAGGGUCAACU
Molecule: long non-coding RNA, 418 nt
Filed under: Manihot esculenta (cassava)
Lineage: Eukaryota; Viridiplantae; Streptophyta; Magnoliopsida; Malpighiales; Euphorbiaceae
Description: long non-coding RNA (MESC_LNC003693)
Source: RNAcentral